Molecule: ribosomal RNA, 497 nt
Filed under: uncultured bacterium
Lineage: Bacteria
Description: partial 16S ribosomal RNA
Rfam family: Bacterial small subunit ribosomal RNA
Source: RNAcentral
GAUGAACGCUGGCGGCGUGCCUAAUACAUGCAAGUCGAGCGAACAGACGAGGAGCUUGCUCCUCUGACGUUAGCGGCGGACGGGUGAGUAACACGUGGAUAACCUACCUAUAAGACUGGGAUAACUUCGGGAAACCGGAGCUAAUACCGGAUAACAUGUUGAACCGCAUGGUUCAACAGUGAAAGACGGUUUUGCUGUCACCUAUAGAUGGAUCCGCGUCGCAUUAGCUAGUUGGUAAGGUAACGGCUUACCAAGGCAACGAUGCGUAGCCGACCUGAGAGGGUGAUCGGCCACACUGGAACUGAGACACGGUCCAGACUCCUACGGGAGGCAGCAGUAGGGAAUCUUCCGCAAUGGGCGAAAGCCUGACGGAGCAACGCCGCGUGAGUGAAGAAGGUCUUCGGAUCGUAAAACUCUGUUAUUAGGGAAGAACAAAUGUGUAAGUAACUAUGCACGUCUUGACGGUACCUAAUCAGAAAGCCACGGCUAACUACGUG